CCGGCGACCGGCGCACGGGUGAGUAACACGUAUGCAACCUGGCCGUGACAGAUGGAUAACCGGGAGAAAUCCCGCCUAAUACAACAUAAUGCCGGGAGGGGACAUCCCCUGCCGGCCAAAGGGGGCGACCCCGGUCACGGAUGGGCAUGCGGCGCAUUAGGUAGUUGGUGGGGCAACGGCCCACCAAGCCGACGAUGCGUAGGGGUUCUGAGAGGAAGGUCCCCCACACUGGUACUGAGACACGGACCAGACUCCUACGGAAGGCAGCAG
RNAcentral lists this ribosomal RNA (270 nucleotides) under uncultured bacterium. RNAcentral's name for it is "partial 16S ribosomal RNA". It matches the Rfam family "Bacterial small subunit ribosomal RNA", at positions 88 to 354 of the family's 1533-position model. The record is from RNAcentral.